CCAGACUCCUACGGGAGGCAGCAGUGAGGAAUAUUGGUCAAUGGGCGCGAGCCUGAACCAGCCAAGUCGCGUGAGGGAGGACGGCCCUACGGGUUGUAAACCUCUUUUGCCGGGGAGCAACGGGCGUCACGUGUGGCGCCACUGAGAGUACCCGGAGAAAAAGCAUCGGCUAACUCCGUGCCAGCAGCCGCGGUAAUACGGAGGAUGCGAGCGUUAUCCGGAUUUAUUGGGUUUAAAGGGUGCGCAGGCGGAAUGUCAAGUCAGCGGUAAAAUUUCGGGGCUCAACCCCGUCGUGCCGUUGAAACUGGCGUUCUUGAGUGGAAGAGAAGUAUGCGGAAUGCGUGGUGUAGCGGUGAAAUGCAUAGAUAUCACGCAGAACCCCGAUUGCGAAGGCAGCAUGCCGGCUUCCGACUGACGCUGAAGCACGAAAGCGUGGGGAUCGAACAGGAUUAGAUACCCUGGUAA
This 465-nucleotide ribosomal RNA is filed under the name uncultured bacterium. Its description in RNAcentral is "bacterial SSU rRNA". It matches the Rfam family "Bacterial small subunit ribosomal RNA", at positions 331 to 793 of the family's 1533-position model. The record is from RNAcentral.